CCGGCGAACGGGUGCGUAACACGUGAGCAAGCUUCCGAUUAGUGGGGGAUAGCCGGCCUAACGGCCGGGUAAUACCGCAUACGUUCAUCACUCGGCAUCGAGUGGUGAGGAAACCUCCGGUGCUAAUCGAGGCGCUCGCGGCCUAUCAGCUAGUUGGCGGGGUAACGGCCCACCAAGGCGACGACGGGUAGCUGGUCUGAGAGGAUGGCCAGCCACAUUGGGACUGCGACACGGCCCAGACUCC
This 244-nucleotide ribosomal RNA is filed under the name uncultured bacterium. RNAcentral's name for it is "partial 16S ribosomal RNA". It matches the Rfam family "Bacterial small subunit ribosomal RNA", at positions 95 to 339 of the family's 1533-position model. The record is from RNAcentral.